GACGAACGCUGUCGGCGUGCUUAACACAUGCAAGUCGAACGGAAAGGCCCUGCUUUUGUGGGGUGCUCGAGUGGCGAACGGGUGAGUAACACGUGAGUAACCUGCCCUUGACUUUGGGAUAACUUCAGGAAACUGGGGCUAAUACCGGAUAGGAGCUCCUGCUGCAUGGUGGGGGUUGGAAAGUUUCGGCGGUUGGGGAUGGACUCGCGGCUUAUCAGCUUGUUGGUGGGGUAGUGGCUUACCAAGGCUUUGACGGGUAGCCGGCCUGAGAGGGUGACCGGCCACAUUGGGACUGAGAUACGGCCCAGACUCCUACGGGAGGCAGCAGUGGGGAAUAUUGCACAAUGGGCGGAAGCCUGAUGCAGCAACGCCGCGUGCGGGAUGACGGCCUUCGGGUUGGAAACCGCUUUCGCCUGUGACGAAGCGUGAGUGACGGUAAUGGGUAAAGAAGCACCGGCUAACUACGUGC
This 469-nucleotide ribosomal RNA is filed under the name uncultured bacterium. RNAcentral's name for it is "partial 16S ribosomal RNA". It matches the Rfam family "Bacterial small subunit ribosomal RNA", at positions 28 to 508 of the family's 1533-position model. The record is from RNAcentral.